GACGAACGCUGGCGGCGUGCUUAACACAUGCAAGUCGAACGGGAUCCCAAGGCUUUUUGUUUUUGGUGAGAGUGGCGAACGGGGUAGUAACACGUGAGUAACCUGCCCCCUUCUUUUGGAUAACCGCAUGAAAGUGUGGCUAAUACAGGAUAUUCCAGGCUGGUCGCAUGAUUGGUUUGUGAAAUGGGUUGGUCUGGUGGGGGAUGGGCUCGCGGCCUAUCAGCUUGCUGGUGGGGUGAUGGCCUACCAAGGCGGUGACGGGUAGCCGGCCUGAGAGGGUGGGCGGGCACACUGGGACUGGGAUACGGCCCAGACUCCGACGGGAGGCAGCAGUGGGCGAUUUUGCACAAUGGGCGCAAGCCUGAUGCAGCGACGCGGCGUGAGGGAUGAAGGCCUUCGGGUUGUAAACCUCUUUCGCUGGGUUGAAUGGCCAUGCUUUGGGUGUGGUUGAUUUGAACUGGUAAAGAAGUACCGGCUAACUACGUG
RNAcentral lists this ribosomal RNA (486 nucleotides) under uncultured bacterium. Its description in RNAcentral is "partial 16S ribosomal RNA". It matches the Rfam family "Bacterial small subunit ribosomal RNA", at positions 28 to 507 of the family's 1533-position model. The record is from RNAcentral.